RNAcentral lists this long non-coding RNA (626 nucleotides) under Lupinus angustifolius (narrow-leaved blue lupine). RNAcentral describes it as "long non-coding RNA (LANG_LNC000462)". The record is from RNAcentral. Lineage: Eukaryota; Viridiplantae; Streptophyta; Magnoliopsida; Fabales; Fabaceae.
UUUGAUUUUCUAUUAAAAUAUUUACAUCUCUACUAUCUUCUAUAUAUGAAUUGAAGGGGCUCAUGAAAAGACUAAACCAGACAUCAUAUAUUUGUGAUAUUUGUGAAAGAGUAACCAAAUUGUGAAAUACAUAGUUGGCUAGUUACUUCUUCGACGAAAAUAGAGAUCUCACCGGCUUUCUCCUCGACUUCUUGGCAAAUAUACCGAACCAUAUGCUGGAUUUGCUUCGACUUGUUUAAGUAGUUCAUUUCAGAAUCAGAGAAGACCCAGAUUGCUUCUACACCAUAUCUGAAUAUCUAUAAACCACUUUCUACUCACGAGUGAGUCAUUGAAAACCCAAACUAACAACAAACAAGCUUAAAAUGAAGAAAAUUUCAAAAAAAUUGGACAAAUCGAAAAGUUAGGGUUUGGGAUCUACCAGCUAUUUGUUAACGAAAUUUGACGGAGGGACAAUGCCAUUACCGAAAUUAAAAAGCUACGAUAAAGGCUGAAUGAAGAGAGAAUGUGAGUGAGGGCUGAACAAAGAGAGAAUGAGAGUGAGGGUUGAACAAAGAGCAACUGAGAGUGAGGGCUGAACGAAGAGCGAAUGAGAGUGAGGGCAGAAGGAAGCAAGAAUGAGAAUGAGG